Molecule: transfer RNA, 68 nt
Filed under: Euprymna berryi
Lineage: Eukaryota; Metazoa; Mollusca; Cephalopoda; Sepiida; Sepiolidae
Description: tRNA-Lys
Rfam family: tRNA
About the family: Transfer RNA (tRNA) molecules are approximately 80 nucleotides in length. Their secondary structure includes four short double-helical elements and three loops (D, anti-codon, and T loops).
Source: RNAcentral
UAUUAAGUGGCUGAACCUUAAGCACUAGACUUUUAAUCUAGAAAAUGAUUUUUUUAAAUCCUUAAUAU